RNAcentral lists this ribosomal RNA (384 nucleotides) under uncultured bacterium. Its description in RNAcentral is "bacterial SSU rRNA". It matches the Rfam family "Bacterial small subunit ribosomal RNA", at positions 426 to 793 of the family's 1533-position model. The record is from RNAcentral.
AAAGCGACUUUCAGUCGUGAGGAAGGUGGUGUAGUUAAUAGCUGCAUCAUUUGACGUUUAGCGACAGAAGAAAGCACCGGCUAACUCCGUGCCAGCAGCCGCGGUAAUACGGAGGGUGCGAGCGUUAAUCGGAAUUACUGGGCGUAAAGCGCAUGCAGGUGGUUUGUUUAAGUCAGAUGUGAAAGACCCGGGGCGUCAACCUCGGAAUUGCAUUUGUAAACUAGGCAGACUAGAGUACUGUAGAGGGGGGUAGGAAUUUCAGGUGUAGCGGUGAAAUGCGUAGAGAUCUGAAGGAAUACCGGUGGCGAAGGCGGCCCCCUCGGACAGAUACUGACACUCAGAUGCGAAAGCGUGGGGAGCAAACAGGAUUAGAUACCCUGGUAG